Long non-coding RNA from Triticum dicoccoides, 1389 nucleotides. RefSeq lists it as uncharacterized. NCBI's taxonomy places the organism in Eukaryota, Viridiplantae, Streptophyta, Magnoliopsida, Poales, Poaceae. The record is from RefSeq and is a predicted model, not a curated record. The transcript has 4 exons.
UAACUUGUGCCUGCUGUCGCCGCCGUCACGCUCGAUCCAAUCCUGUGCCACCAUCACCGCCGGCCUCGCGCUCCACCCAGUCCUAUAUCCCCCGUCCCGGAGCUCGCACUCCCCCGCCGCCGGCCUUACACUCCACCCCGUCCUCAAUCCGCCGUACUCAAUCCCCUGAGCUCCAGACCUAUAUCGAGGCGCCGUCCUCGCGCUGUCCAUCCAGUCGCUGUCCGCGCACAACCCCCUCCCCCCAACGUCCAGCCAACGUCAUCGUCAAUCCCCGUCCUGCGGCUGCCGGGGAUCCAUCUCUGGGCUCCCGCUGCUUCCGCACCUGCUGCUGCGGGGCUCCAUAUCUGGGCUCUUGCUGCCGCCGGAGCUCCAUCUCCGGGCUGCCGCUGCUGUCGGCCCUGCUACUGUUUGACUUCUGCCCUCUGCUGCUGGGCUCCAUCUCCAGGCUCAUGAGAUCCGUCCCCAAGAUACGUCCAUCCACCGCCCCCAACCCCAAUCCCAUUCCACGUCCCCGAGUCCCCGACCCCAUCCCUUACUCCCUUCCUUGGAGUCACAGCCUCCGACAACUCCGUCCAUCAUCGCCUUGCACCUCGGGCUGGAGGGAGUGGGCGUUACUAGAAUGCACCACUUGUGGCUGCUAUGUUUUCUCCCUCAUACAUGGCAUCAAUGGUGUGUCUGCCUGAUCCUGCAACAAGUGUUCACUCUUUGAUGAGUCUUCUAAUCUGCAAUUUAUGCCUGGUCCAUCUUCAUGCUGCACAUGGUACUUUGACAUGGCCAUCAGCCUGACAGGAAUCCACUCCAAUUUUAUUCAAGCUUGCUAGGUUGCCAGACGAUGGGUGCUGAAAUUUCUUAUAUCUCAUAAAUUUGGAAGUCUUGAGAAGGGUGGUUGAUACAUGUCUUCACACUUUUCAGAGCAACGUGCGGUGGAAGAAGCAGCCUAUGAACUAAAAUAGUUUGCAUAAGAAACAUGCGAUGCGAGUACUCAACCAUCUACUGCGCAUGGAUGUGAUACUUCGGAGUGUUCGACAGCAUUUGGCUGUUUGUAGUAUUUUGGACCAGCCAACUUGCGAUCAUGAAUCUUAUGUCUGUUCUGGACCAUUUGGUGCUUCAAGUGAUUUGGAGCAUAUAUCUUGUGCUCAUGGGUGUGACUUUGUUCUGGACCAUUUAGUGUUUGAACUCCUUUAGAACAACAAAUAGUGGUCCUUUUAUGUGGCUUGUGUUUUCUAGAUGGUGGUCCAAAUGGCCAAACUUUGCUUUGUCAAGAUUGUCCUGUUUUUGAACUUAUGAUCAAUAUAUGUAUGUUUGUGAACAUAUUAUCAAUGCUUGUGCAAUAUGUGUUCAUCUUGAUCCUGUUUGUGUAUAACAUUUGAGCAUUGUAUAAUAUUUCAA